This is a long non-coding RNA of Pteropus alecto (black flying fox), 1113 nucleotides long. RefSeq lists it as uncharacterized. The transcript is spliced from 3 exons. NCBI's taxonomy places the organism in Eukaryota, Metazoa, Chordata, Mammalia, Chiroptera, Pteropodidae. The record is from RefSeq and is a predicted model, not a curated record.
GCCUUCCUGUGCUGGCUGAGAGGUGGCUGUGUCUCCUGAGGGCUCUGAUGGAAACUAAGAAGACCCAGCAUCCAAGAAUAGAAAAUUUAAAAUUCUGACUUUUACUGCGGCUGGGGAAGAACCAUGCUUCCCUUGGUUCACUGCUUCAUUCAAUUUAUUGUGCUUUUGGAUUCACGGUUCAGAAUUAAAAUACACCCGAAUGUAAGCUGUAUUAGGAAGUCAAGAAGCACUUUUGAAAAAGUUCCUUUGCUCUUUGGACUUCCCCUUCUUCCUGCUGGGAAUGAAGAAAUCAUGUCUGGAGAUCCAACAACCAUCUUUUAACUCGGAGGAUAGAAAUCACUCAUUAAAGAUUGCAGAGCGGAAAUAUAAGAAGCGCCUUCGUUCCUCGUGACUUCCUAGAGCAUCCAUACCAGCUUGGGCUGCCUCCCUCAGAGAAAUUAAUCCUCGUCUGUUUUAGCACUAUAGUUGAAUCUUGUUGGCAGAAGCAUUAACCUCCUAACCAUAUAGUUGUUACAACAACCUUGGAGGUAUUAUUAUGACACAUCCCAUUUUUUGCAUGACAAGGGACUGAUAAAUCAUGGAGUUAGAAUUCAAACACAUUUUUGUCUAGCUCUAAAGCACAUAUUUUUAAUCAUCAAGCUCUCCAGCAAAUCAAGUUGGGACAAAUAAGGUUAGACAGGGACAGGGGUGGGAAAGGGGCAGUCCAAAACCAAAGCAAGGACCGGGUGACCAGAAACCAGUGGGAAGUACCCUUGGAGGGGUAUGUGUGUAUAAGUGUGUAUAGGUGUGUGCGUGUGCAGUAACAAGGCCCAAGAAACACAAUCAUGCUGCUGAGUUGCUGCUCCAUCUGCUUUUUAGCCCUGAUCAUUGCACUUGAAGUAUUUCUGAGCUUGAAACCUGAAACCACAAUGAGAAAUAUGCCUAGUAGUUAGUCCACUAAUUGAGUUAAUGUAGAUGCCAAUCCUGAUAAGUCAAAUCCUAAAGAAGAAAUUUUGAUUUGAAUUAACUAGUUUAAUUGUCUGCGAAAUCCAAAUUGGCCAAAUAAUUUCAAGUUAAUACUUUCAUUUAAUCUGUGUAGAUCCUCCCACCCUGAAUAAAAAUGUACUAUUUGUA